Molecule: transfer RNA, 77 nt
Filed under: Burkholderiales bacterium
Lineage: Bacteria; Pseudomonadati; Pseudomonadota; Betaproteobacteria; Burkholderiales
Also listed under: 3 other names
Description: tRNA-Met
Rfam family: tRNA
About the family: Transfer RNA (tRNA) molecules are approximately 80 nucleotides in length.
Source: RNAcentral
GGUGAUGUAGCUCAGUCGGUUAGAGCGUGGCACUCAUAACGCCAAGGUCGCUGGUUCGAUCCCAGCCAUCACCACCA